This 613-nucleotide ribosomal RNA is filed under the name Trametes versicolor. RNAcentral describes it as "eukaryotic LSU rRNA". It matches the Rfam family "Eukaryotic large subunit ribosomal RNA", at positions 73 to 664 of the family's 3401-position model. The record is from RNAcentral. Lineage: Eukaryota; Fungi; Basidiomycota; Agaricomycetes; Polyporales; Polyporaceae.
GAUUCCCCUAGUAACUGCGAGUGAAGCGGGAAAAGCUCAAAUUUAAAAUCUGGCGGUCUUUGGCCGUCCGAGUUGUAGUCUGGAGAAGCGUCUUCCGCGUUGGACCGUGUACAAGUCUCUUGGAACAGAGCGUCAUAGAGGGUGAGAAUCCCGUCUUUGACACGGACUACCAAUGCUUUGUGAUGCGCUCUCAAAGAGUCGCGUUGUUUGGGAAUGCAGCGCAAAAUGGGAGGUGAAUUCCUUCUAAAGCUAAAUAUUGGCGAGAGACCGAUAGCGAACAAGUACCGUGAGGGAAAGAUGAAAAGCACUUUGGAAAGAGAGUUAAACAGUACGUGAAAUUGCUAAAAGGGAAACGCUUGAAGUCAGUCGCGUCGUCCGGAACUCAGCUUUGCUUCGGCUUAGUGCACUUUCCGGUUGACGGGCCAGCAUCGAUUUUGACCGCUGGAAAAGGGCUGGAGGAAUGUGGCACCUUCGGGUGUGUUAUAGCCUUCAGUCGCAUACAGCGGUUGGGAUCGAGGAACGCAGCACGCCUUAUGGCUGGGGUUCGCCCACNUUCGCGCUUAGGAUGCUGGCAUAAUGGCUUUAAACGACCCGUCUGGAAACACGGNACCAA